Molecule: ribosomal RNA, 633 nt
Filed under: Bursaphelenchus xylophilus (pine wood nematode)
Lineage: Eukaryota; Metazoa; Nematoda; Chromadorea; Rhabditida; Aphelenchoididae
Description: eukaryotic LSU rRNA
Rfam family: Eukaryotic large subunit ribosomal RNA
Source: RNAcentral
UCGAUAGCGGACAAGUACCGAGAGGGAAAGUUGAAAAGUACUUUGAAAAGAGAGUGCAAGAGAACGUGAAACCGGUGUAAUGGAAGCGAAUGGAGCCGACGUAUCUAGUGCGUAUUCAGCCUUCUGGGCGCGUGAUUGGUGUUUGUGCAUUGCCGCAAGGUGUGCCUGGCGCUAUUGUCGCGUGUUCGGUUGGUGCAUUUGCGUACGGAGUGCGCCGGGUUGUGUGGUGUUGUCGGACGAUGCGCGUUUAGAGGACCCGGGCUUCGGCGCUGGGAACCCUGGGCGUGUGGAGUUCGGUUGGCGCUGCGCAGCUUUGUGGAGACGUGGGUUUUUCGCGUGCCGCGGUGUCGACAGGCUCGGUUCGGGUGGUACACAUGUGUGCAGCCCUUAUGGGGUCGGUCGGUGUUGUGGUGUGCUCUGCGUUCUUCCCGGUGUUCAGUCGGUGACCCAUUCGACCCGUCUUGAAACACGGACCAAGGAGUUUAUGGUAUGCGCAAGUCAUUGGGUUUGUCGAAGCCUAAAGGCGUAAUGAAAGUGAGACAUUACUUGUCUGAACGUGACUGGGUGCGGCAUUCGUGCGGCCCAAGCAACGUUGCCCCGUUUCGAGGACUUGUCCUGAUGCGGAGGUUGAGC